Molecule: long non-coding RNA, 4328 nt
Filed under: Homo sapiens (human)
Lineage: Eukaryota; Metazoa; Chordata; Mammalia; Primates; Hominidae
Description: HSALNT0313163
Source: RNAcentral
CCAGGGAUAUGCACAGACAGAGAAAAGACCAUGUGAAGACAUAGUGAGAAGGCCAUCUGCAAGUGAAGGGGAGAGGCCUCAGGAGAAACCACACCUGUAGACAUCUUGAUCGCAGACUUCUAGCUUUUAGAACUGUUGUUUCAGCCACCCUGUCUAUGGCAUUUUGUUAUGGCAGCCCUAGCAGACUUAAUGUGCUCAGCGAUAAAAAGAAGUGAAAUACUAUACACUGACAUGGAGGAAUCUAAAUAAUACUGUGUCGAAUGAAAGAAGCCUUAAACAAAACAGCAUGUAACUGUAUGAUUCCAUUUAUAUGCCAUUUUAGAAUAGGCAAAAUUAAUUUUUUAGAAAAAAUAUCGGAACAGUUGUUGCCUCUGAGGCAAGGAAUUUAGCAUCGUGAUUGACCCAGGUGGCAUGAAAGGAUUCUGGGGGUGAUGAUCCUGUUUUUUCAAUCCAGACUGGGCUUUGAAUUACAUAGUUGUAUUUAUUUGUCAAAAUUCAUUGAAUGGUAUAUUUGACAUUUGUACAUUUAUUGUAUAUUAACUUUACCUCAAAAGAAAAUAUACAUACUUUAAGAUAAAUAUUAAACAUUAGUCAGUGAUAUGCAUGCUGAAGUAUCUGGAGUGAGUGUACUGAUUUUGCAAACUACUCUGAAAUGUGUCAAAAGUAAAGUGAUUGAUGAAGAAUGCGCUUGAACAACACUAUGAAAUUUUGGACUUUGAAGACAUGGAAGGUGAGGGCUUGAAGAAAGAAAAAUCUUAUUGGAAACUAAAGGAAAGGGGCUCUUUGUUAUGCAGUGGUAGAAAGUUUAGCAAUACAGUUUUCUGAAAUUAUAUGGAAAAUGUGUCUAUUGGCAAGGGUAAUCUAGCUAAGGAGAUUUUCAAAUAGUGUUGAAGGUGACACCUGAUUUCUUCUUGGGUCUUACAGGAAGGCGUUGAAUUGAGAGAAGGAAGAUUAAAGAUGAAAUCAAGGGUGUGACUUAAAACCAUUCGUGAAGACCUCAGAAGAAACAAAGAUGGUGCCUCAGAAUACGAUUCAGUCACAUAGGAGCGCUUUAAAUAAAUUAAGGUUUCACAGGUUAAGAAGAAGAAAUGUACUCAAAGAGCUGUACUUAAGGAAUUAAAACUGAGGAGCCCCAACUGCACCUGGACCUGAUUUAGAUGACAAGAUUUUGGAUAUUGAGCUCACACUGCAAUGGGAUGAGACUUUGCAAUCCUUGGAGGGGUGAGUAUAUUCUGCACAUUGAAGGGAUAUAAGUCACUGGGGGGCCAGAGGAAGAGUGUGGUAGCCAGAUUCCAGGAUAGCUCCUCAUGAUCUCGAUCUCCCGGUACUCAUAUUCCUUUGUAAUCUCUUCCCCAUGAAUGUGGACUGGAUUUACUAACUCGCUUAAUAUGGCAGAAGUGACGAGGUGUCAACUCUGAGAAUAAACUAUAAAAAGAUUGUGGUUUCUGUCUUGGGUGCUUUUGCUGGUUCCCUCUUGGAUCACUCGGCCUGGGGAAAGGCAACUGCAACGCUGUGAGGCAACCCUGUGGAGAGGCUCAAAUAGUGAGAGAUUGAGACGUGCCGGCAUCCACACCAGUGAGCUGCAAGGUAAACUCUCCCCAGCUAAGCCUCCAACCCCAGCCCACAACUUGGCUGGUACCUGACAAGAGAAGCAGAGCCAGAGGCACUGAGUUAAGCCAUGUCUGUGAGAUAACAGAAACUGACAUAAUAAAUGUUUUUGUUUUAUUUUAAGCUGCUAACUUUUGGGCAAUUUGUCAAUGAAACAAUAGAUUAAUACACAGAACAGAACUGAGAAACCAUAAUGAAAAGGAAAAAGGUGAAUCAGAGAAUGAAUAGGACACAGCUCUGUUUUCUUUCAACAAUAGAUAAGCAUAAUCUUGGAGAUGAAGAGUGGAAGAAAUAUGAAAUGACCAAUGGUCAAAUAAAGUAGUAGCAAGAAAAUACAACAGUAGAGAAAGGAGAGCAAGAAGGGAAAGGGAGAAACACUCCUGCUGAAGAUUCCUUUAUGAUUAAAGGAGAUAAACAAAGGCCAGCAGAAGAAAAAAGAAGUCCACUGUGGUCUCUGAGCAGGAGAAGAUGGGUCAUGGAACCACUGAAAUGUUACUGACAUCAUGGAAGCAUCAAGGAAAAGUCAAAAAAUCCUUCAUAAGGGUUUAUAUUCUGGGAACCAUAAUUACAAAGUCACUAGGGCUGGCUCUGAAAUGACUGAUGCUGAAGAGGGAAGAGGGUGAUGCAAUCUCUAGGAGUAGGGAAUUCAUCAUUUAUUUUGGAAGUGAUUACUGGGGGAAAAAGAACUAUUGGCAAAUCUUUAUACUCACAUUAUUAAGCAGGCCAAGGAUGAUUAUUUAGAUGUGAAAUGGUUGCUAGAGAUGAGGUAGUUGCAUGGAUUUAAAAACUUUAAAGUUAUAAAUCUGCUGCUUAAAAUACUGAACAAACUAGAGGCAUGUAUUCAGCGACAGAAAUGUGAGGCCCAGCUAUGGCAAAGGAGGGAACAUCAUCUAUCUUGACAGAUGCUCUUGCCUGGUGAUAUUAAAGCCUAAAUGUAUAUUACAGCUGACAGCAUCAUGCCAAGUAGUUCCUGUACAAGCAUAAAGAAAAACUGAAGGAAUAGUACAGUCUUAAGCAAAGUUGAAACAAAUCUAAAAUUUAAAUAUAGCAUAACAUUUUUAAAAAAUUGAUCCAGAAAAAAUGCAGUUAUAUUUAGAAAACAUACAUCUGGUCAUAUCUGCCAAAUAAGAGCCCCAAACUGUGUUAGGUACUAUAGUGGACACAAAAGAAACCCUGGCCCCAAGGGACUUACGAACCAGCUGGAGACUCAAGUUCUAUGCGUGUAAACAAUUAGAGAAGGACUCCUGAAAGGACAGACAGUAUGCCUGACAAAAAAUAGCAAUGGCAUGUGACCAACAAAACACAUGAGAACACGGUUAAUCCAAUUUUCCUGAGCUGAAAGAGAGAGGACAGGUAAAAAGGAAAGUGAAAGCAACAGUAUCCUUGGAGUCUGGCUCACAGCCAAGCAGAUGGGCCAUGACCCCCAGAACCCAUCUCUCUGAGCCUCUGGUUCUUUGUAAAGUGGGUACCACCUACCUCCUAGGGAUGCCGUGAGGAUUAUGUUACAGUGUGCCUUAUACAGUAACAGUAUUAACUGCUCAAUAAAAGGUCUUUAUUGUUUUACCAAUGAGUCCAGAAAGAGCAAGGAACAAACAAGAAGAAAAUCAAGGGGAAAGCAAGAAAAAAACGAAAGCCAAUGGAGUAUGAAGAAGACUACGUGCAAAUAAAAAGACUGCUGUUCAGAGAGGUAAAGCCAUUUGCCCAAGGUCACACACCUGGGAACUAAAGUCUAUUUGAGUCUGAAGUUAUCCCCAGCAAGUGAUGCCUGCACCCAGAACCAGCCAGGCCUUGACAUCAGAUGCUGGCCCCAGGAGGAAAUGUUGAGAGAUUGUGACAAAGGGAUUACAGGUCAUGAGAAAUUCUUAUUUUGAAUUUUUUAACCUUUCCACAAUAGAAAAAAUAAAUUCUUACCCUAAGAAUCAGGAAAAAUAAAAGUUUUAACAGUUUUCCUAUUUAUAAAGCUCUUCUGAAGAAACACGGUGACCAGAAGGUUCUUAUUUCCCAUAAUGUCGCGCUGCCUUUCAGAUUUUAGUGCUUGCUUCCUUUAAACAAAUUUUUGAUCUAUGAAAGACUUUACUCAUUCCCUUGAGUUUCUCUGUAUAUCUCAAAGUGAGCCUCAAAUGUGAAUAUGUGAACAUGUUCUGUCAGAGUUCAUAUUUAGGUCCAACUUAACCAUUUUGUUAAGCCUGUGCUUUUAAAUGUUUGCAUACUGUGAUGGUCAAUCUUAUGUGUCAACUUGACUGGGCCAUGGGGUGCCCCGAUAUUUGGUCAUACAUUCUGGGUGUUGCUGUGAGGGUAUUUUUAGAGAGAUUAACAUUUAAAUGGAUAGACUGAAUAGAACAGAUUAAUUUCCAUAAUGUGAGUGGGCCUCAUCCAAUUGGUUGAAAUAAAAGCACUGACCUAUCCUUGAGUAAGGGAGAAUUAUUCCUGCCUUUCAACUUGAACUGAAACACCAGCUCUUCCUGGGUCGCAAGCCUAUCAUGUUUAGACUAAAACUGCAUCAUCUUCUCUAGUUCUAAGGCCUUUAGACUAGGACUAGAACUAAACUAUCAGCUCUCCUGGAUCUCCAGUUUGUCAACUUGCCAUGAAGAUCUUAGGGCUGGGCUGGCUAGCCUCCAUAAUCAUGUGAGCCAAUUCCUUAGAGUAAAUCUCGUUCCUUAUAUAAUCCUGUUGGUUCUGUUUCUCUGGAGAACCCUGACUAAUAUGUAUACUUUUUUUUU